CUAUACAUGACUCUGCGCAUAUCAAUAAGCGGAGGAAAAGAAACUAACAAGGAUUCCCCUAGUAACGGCGAGUGAAGCGGGAAGAGCUCAAAUUUGAAAUCUUAAAGGGUUUCCCUUUACGAAUUGUAGUUUAAAGAAGUGUUUUCUGUUGAGGUUUUGGUAAAAGUUCUUUGGAAUAGGACAUCAUAGAGGGUGAGAAUCCCGUAUUUGACCUUUACUUUCAACUUUGUGAUACACUUUCAAAGAGUCGGAUUGUUUGGGAAUGCAGUCCGAAAUGGGUGGUAAAUUUCAUCUAAAGCUAAAUAUUGGCGAGAGACCGAUAGCGAACAAGUACCGUGAGGGAAAGAUGAAAAGAACUUUGAAAAGAGAGUUAAACAGUACGUGAAAUUGUCAAAAGGGAAGCGUUUGACACCAGUGUUGUUUUUCUGAAAAUCAAUUAAAGAACUGUUUAUGCUAAGUUGUUUAGACUUUAUCAGCUAUCUGUUUAGUUUUGAGCUUUUCUUUAAUGCACUUUUCAGUUAACAAGUCAACAUCAAUUUCUUUUGCUGUAAAAAAGCUUGAGGAAGGUGGCUUGAGAUUCGUCUUAAGUGUUUAUAGCCUCUUGCCUAUGCAGUCGGAGAGAUUGAGGUCUGCAGCGUAGAUCCUUCGGGGCUAAAUGCAUUUGUGCUAAGUUAUAGCAUUUUAUAGACAACUUGUUGACUAUGAUUUGUCUUGUAGCUUACUCGCUUAUGUUAUUUUACCUACGCUUAGGAUGUUGAGCGCAUGUCUCUCUCU
Molecule: ribosomal RNA, 774 nt
Filed under: uncultured Neocallimastigales
Lineage: Eukaryota; Fungi; Neocallimastigomycota; Neocallimastigomycetes; Neocallimastigales
Description: partial large subunit ribosomal RNA
Rfam family: Eukaryotic large subunit ribosomal RNA
Source: RNAcentral